RNAcentral lists this ribosomal RNA (504 nucleotides) under uncultured bacterium. Its description in RNAcentral is "partial 16S ribosomal RNA". It matches the Rfam family "Bacterial small subunit ribosomal RNA", at positions 30 to 523 of the family's 1533-position model. The record is from RNAcentral.
AUUGAACGCUGGCGGCAGGCCUAACACAUGCAAGUCGAACGGUAGCACAGAGAGCUUGCUCUCGGGUGACGAGUGGCGGACGGGUGAGUAAUGUCUGGGAAACUGCCUGAUGGAGGGGGAUAACUACUGGAAACGGUAGCUAAUACCGCAUAACGUCGCAAGACCAAAGUGGGGGACCUUCGGGCCUCACACCAUCGGAUGUGCCCAGAUGGGAUUAGCUAGUAGGUGGGGUAAUGGCUCACCUAGGCGACGAUCCCUAGCUGGUCUGAGAGGCUGGCCAGCCACACUGGAACUGAAACACGGUCCAGACUCCUACGGGAGGCAGCAGUGGGGAAUAUUGCACAAUGGGCGCAAGCCUGAUGCAGCCAUGCCACGUGUAUGAAGAAGGCCUUCGGGUUGUAAAGUACUUUCAGCGGGGAGGAAGGCGGUGAAGUUAAUAACUUCACCGAUUGACGUUACCCGCAGAAGAAGCACCGGCUAACUCCGUGCCAGCAGCCGCAGUAA